Molecule: ribosomal RNA, 258 nt
Filed under: uncultured Glomus
Lineage: Eukaryota; Fungi; Glomeromycota; Glomeromycetes; Glomerales; Glomeraceae
Description: partial 18S ribosomal RNA
Rfam family: Eukaryotic small subunit ribosomal RNA
Source: RNAcentral
AAGCUCGUAGUUGAAUUUCGGGAUCAAUUUGCUGGUCGUGCCUUCGGUACGCACUGGUAUUAUUGGUUUCUCCUUUCUGAUGAAUCGCGAUGUCAUUAAUUUGGUGUCGUGGGGAAUCAGGACCGUUACUUUGAAAAAAUUAGAGUGUUUAAAGCAGGCUCACGCUUGAAUACAUUAGCAUGGAAUAAUGAAAUAGGACGUUUGAUUCUAUUUUGUUGGUUUCUAGGAUCGACGUAAUGAUUAAUAGGGAUAGUUGGG